GACGAACGCUGGCGGCGUGCUUAACACAUGCAAGUCGAACGAUGAAACCUAGCUUGCUAGGUCGAUUAGUGGCGAACGGGUGAGUAACACGUGACUAACCUGCCCCUUUCUCUGGGAUAACGCCCCGAAAGGAGUGCUAAUACCGGAUACUCACACCGAGGCACAUGCCUUGGUGUGGAAAGUUUUUCGGAAAGGGAUGGAGUCGCGGCCUAUCAGCUUGUUGGUGAGGUAACGGCUCACCAAGGCGACGACGGGUAGCCGGCCUGGGAGGGCGACCGGCCACACUGGGACUGAGGCACGGCCCAGACUCCUACGGGAGGCAGCAGUGGGGAAUAUUGCACAAUGGGCGCAAGCCUGAUGCAGCGACGCCGCGUGAGGGAUGAAGGUCUUCGGAUUGUAAACCUCUUUCAGUAGGGACGAAGCGAAAGUGACGGUACCUAAAGAAGAAGCACCGGCUAACUACGUGCCAGCCGCCGCCGUAA
This 482-nucleotide ribosomal RNA is filed under the name uncultured bacterium. RNAcentral's name for it is "partial 16S ribosomal RNA". It matches the Rfam family "Bacterial small subunit ribosomal RNA", at positions 28 to 523 of the family's 1533-position model. The record is from RNAcentral.